This 253-nucleotide ribosomal RNA is filed under the name uncultured bacterium. RNAcentral describes it as "partial 16S ribosomal RNA". It matches the Rfam family "Bacterial small subunit ribosomal RNA", at positions 524 to 776 of the family's 1533-position model. The record is from RNAcentral.
UACGUAGGUGGCGAGCGUUGUCCGGAUUUAUUGGGUUUAAAGGGUGCGUAGGCGGCUUUGUAAGUCAGUGGUGAAAUACUCCAGCUUAACUGGAGGGGUGCCAUUGAUACUGCGGAGCUUGAGUACAGAUGAGGUAGGCGGAGUUGACGGUGUAGCGGUGAAAUGCAUAGAUAUCGUCAAGAACACCGAUAGCGAAGGCAGCUUACUGGGCUGUAACUGACGCUGAUGCACGAAAGUGUGGGGAUCAAACAGG